Molecule: ribosomal RNA, 482 nt
Filed under: uncultured Saprospiraceae bacterium
Lineage: Bacteria; Pseudomonadati; Bacteroidota; Saprospiria; Saprospirales; Saprospiraceae
Description: bacterial SSU rRNA
Rfam family: Bacterial small subunit ribosomal RNA
Source: RNAcentral
GAUGAACGCUAGCGGGAGGCUUAAUACAUGCAAGUCGAGGGGUAACAGUGGAGCUUGCUCCAGCUGACGACCGGCGCACGGGUGAGUAACGCGUACGCAAUCUACCUUCAAGAGAGGGAUAGCCCUGGGAAACUGGGAUUAAUACCUCAUGGUAUCAUAAUGCCGCCUGGUAUAAUGAUUAAAGUUCCGGCACUUGAAGAUGAGCGUGCGUCCUAUUAGCUAGUUGGUAAGGUAACGGCUUACCAAGGCGACGAUAGGUAGGGGGCGUGAGAGCGUGGCCCCCCACACGGGUACUGAGACACGGACCCGACUCCUACGGGAGGCAGCAGUAAGGAAUAUUGGACAAUGGGCGCAAGCCUGAUCCAGCCAUCCCGCGUGCAGGAUGACGGCCCUAUGGGUUGUAAACUGCUUUUAUAAGAGAAGAAACGAAUGUAUUUAUAUGUUCCUGACGGUACCUUAUGAAUAAGCACCGGCUAACUCCG